Molecule: non-coding RNA, 398 nt
Organism: Podarcis muralis (Common wall lizard)
Lineage: Eukaryota; Metazoa; Chordata; Lepidosauria; Squamata; Lacertidae
Source: RefSeq, a predicted model, not a curated record
CACCAGAUUAUGAGACUACCGCUUUUAACUACUACACCACACAGGGCUAGAAUCCUUUGAGGAGGCAGCUGUGUAUUUCACCAAAGUGGAGUGAGAUCUCCUCGAUCCAGGCUAAAGAGCUGUUCAAGAAAGCCAUGCCAGAGAAUUGUGGGAAUAUGGCCACUCUGGGUGAUGAGCAAGACAGCGUGAAUUAUAGGAACCCAUCUGUGGUGUCACUAGAAACAACCCAAGCUGAAGCCGGAACAGAGAUAUUUGGAAAUCAAAUGGAACAAAAGAGGCUCAAGGGAAACCAUUCCAAGAAUGUGAACAUGCCCAGCGCUUCUCAGGAUGCUGGCAUCCACAAGCUUCUGGCUGCACAAGAUCAGAAAGGAAAGAGAAGUGAAAAUAUUCUAGUAGAG